GUUCCUCUAUUUCCAAAGUAAACUACCAACGCCUAUGCCACCAAAGUAAAUCACCAUCACCUUUGCCACCAAAAUAAAUCAUCAUUGCAUAUUCCAUCGGAAAAAAUACCACAUCAAACCUUUCAAACCAAAAUUUGACACCACCGGUCUCUUGGCUACUUGACCUACCAUUACUUCCACCACCCUAUAUAUGAAAUGCAUAUGCAAAGAACAAACUUCAUACCUAAUGUAAAUCACACCCAUAUGCUAAAAAUGAAAAUCAAACGUACAAAAAAGGUCAAAUUCAACUUGUAACAAACUUAUGGGGACAAAGUAGAGUUGUACAAACUUAAAAAACCAACUUCUCAAAAAUUUCAACAAGAAACCCAAACCAAAGAUAAGCUUUCCCACCUUGUUAUCGAGUUCAACUUAAGAAGAAAAGAGAACUAGAAAGAAAAGAGACAUUAUCUUGUUCCUGAUAUUAUUUUCUAAAACGAAUUGGAUAGAAGAGAGUUCAACUUAAGAAGAGAAGAGAACCAGAAAGAAAAGAGACAUUAUCCUGUUCGUGAUAUUAUUUUUUAAAAGGAAUUGGAUAGAAGAGAAGAGACGAUAAAGGAUGAUCUUCUCUCCUAAUAUUCCUACCAAAUUGGAGGGAUUUGGAAGUAGGAUUAACAAGGGUUAUUUGUUUGCUAAUCUUCCUUUACUUUCUUUCUAACUCAGGAACUCCAACAUACAAUUUACUUUCUUUAGCCUCCAUCUAUCUAUAUCCCAGAUUAAAGAGAAGUUUUUCAAUAAUUUAUACUCCGCCUCU
RNAcentral lists this long non-coding RNA (790 nucleotides) under Lactuca sativa (garden lettuce). RNAcentral describes it as "long non-coding RNA (LSAT_LNC003479)". Lineage: Eukaryota; Viridiplantae; Streptophyta; Magnoliopsida; Asterales; Asteraceae. The record is from RNAcentral.